Long non-coding RNA from Gadus macrocephalus (Pacific cod), 1151 nucleotides. RefSeq lists it as uncharacterized. The transcript has 5 exons. The record is from RefSeq and is a predicted model, not a curated record. Lineage: Eukaryota; Metazoa; Chordata; Actinopteri; Gadiformes; Gadidae.
UUGGGGGGAAUCCCUGUCCUACUUGUUGUCGAAGCACUUUAUCGAACAAGCAAAACCGUCUCGGCAAUAUGGCCAAGGUGUAUGGGAGAGUUCACUAUUUGAUAUGGCUGUCUGUAGGGCCUACUAAACGCAUACGGCUCCUUUUAAAUGCUUCUGCAUAAUUGAAUUGUACGUCAUGAGCGACCAAAGCGAACAGAAAAAUUCGUAGGGAAACUUUGUGAGCGACCAAAGCGUCUUCGCUCCUGGUGUGGACGUACAGUAGGACUCUGUCUGAGGAGAGCUGCUGGAGGAGCUGAGACGCUGGAGGAUGACUAGGAAUCGACCAACAAGGAUUCCUCAACGUGUUCCUGGAGAGGAGGCGAGCUGGUAGGGGAGCCGUGAAUCUGGAGGAUGAACAUCACUCUACAAACAAGGAUUACCACGACUCUGGCUGUGGAGAGCUGAUGGAGGAGCCAAGACUCUGGAGGACGACAUCGCUCCACCAACCAGGAUCCUCAGACAAAUUGCGUUUCUAACCAGACCAGGAAUCUGGAGGAUGGAGAUGGAGAAGCCGUACAUCUGGAAGGAAAAUCCUGAGGAUCACCAGCACUCUACCAUCAAGGAUUCCUCAUAAGUUUGCAUUAUCUGGACAUGGUGGACUAGACGCACCUGAGCUGAACCUCACCUGAUCCUGUUUGGUCGGGGGUAGACACACCUGAACUAAACCCGCCCUGAUCCUGACAUCCUGCUGGUCCCGUCUCCUCAGUUCAUCUGAGCCUUGUCCUCCAGAAGACCUGCUGAGCUCAGCAGUCUGAGGCUGAUGGAUCACUGACCUCCAGUGGGAGUGAUCUUCUUGACCUCACUACUUCACUACUCUCUACUGCUUCCUCUUUUCUUCCUUCUCUCUGGUUCAAAUCUUUACACUGAAGGCGCGUCUUCCUGCCCUCAGAGAGUUUAGCGUUAGGGUUGAGAGUCAGGGUUUAGAGUCAGGGACAGAGCUGGUCAGGGAGGACUGCUUUUACACAAACCUCUUCACUUGCUUUCGGAAUGGUGGUGACAUUUCGAAAAGAUUAACUUGGAAAAUGUUUUCCUCUGCUUUCCUUUAUAAUAUUGUAUUACAUUUCUGUCAAGUGUUUUUGUUUUCAUAUAUUAAAAUCCCACAUUGACUUCUA